AUGUAAGCUAUAUCCUCAUCUCACUGUAAAUCAGCCUUUUCUGACUGUAAACCUUUUAUGGAUUGUGUUUUUAUGCCAUGGUUUUUGAUUAAUAACACCAGAUGUAUGUGAUCUAGCCCAGCUUUAAUAGUAAUAGAUGAGAUGAGACCCGCCUAAGAAACCAUCUUUACUCUGCUGAAGUACAUCCCUCUGAACCUACUGUCACUACCUGAUCUGUACCAGAAUCAUAAAAAUAAUGUGCCAAAGUCACUUCCUGUUAGUGCUGUUGUUUUGCGACACUUGUGGUUGCUGCCUGAUAUAAAACGAAAGGAGAAAAUGUGACAUAAAUUGUUCUGAUUUUUCCUGUUUUUACAGGAGGAGGCCAUACUUCCCACGUGUGGAACAAAUCUGAUUUCCAGUACAGAAUGGUCUUCCUGUUUGGAGGUGGGAGGGACUUCUUAAAGUUGCGGCCAGUCAGACUGGGGACGCCGACGUCUGCACUUGUUCUGGACACAGUGCUGUCAGCUGGAGGUGCAGUGGUGGUCUUUAGGCCUCCGUCGGCAGCAGGAGGGAGCUUCGCCUGCUCCAGCAACAGAAAAAAUGUACAAAGAGAAUGAAAACAGGCUUGAGUGAAGAAUCAGACUGGGGCCACAGAGAGAGAAAGGCCCUCUGACGCAUGAGGGCCUGGAGCCACCCUGACGGCAAUCACACACACACAAAACACAGAAAACGACGCCGCAAACUCCGCGUAU
Long non-coding RNA from Solea senegalensis (Senegalese sole), 731 nucleotides. RefSeq lists it as uncharacterized. The record is from RefSeq and is a predicted model, not a curated record. Lineage: Eukaryota; Metazoa; Chordata; Actinopteri; Pleuronectiformes; Soleidae. The transcript has 4 exons.